Molecule: ribosomal RNA, 464 nt
Filed under: uncultured bacterium
Lineage: Bacteria
Description: partial 16S ribosomal RNA
Rfam family: Bacterial small subunit ribosomal RNA
Source: RNAcentral
CUACGGGCGGCUGCAGUGGGGAAUAUUGCACAAUGGGCGCAAGCCUGAUGCAGCCAUGCCGCGUGUAUGAAGAAGGCCUUCGGGUUGUAAAGUACUUUCAGCGGGGAGGAAGGGAGUAAAGUUAAUACCUUUGUUCAUUGACGUUACCCGCAGAAGAAGCACCGGCUAACUCCGUGCCAGCAGCCGCGGUAAUACGGAGGGUGCAAGCGGUAAUCGGAAUUACUGGGCGUAAAGCGCACGCAGGCGGUUUGUUAAGUCAGAUGUGAAAUCCCCGGGCUCAACCUGGGAACUGCAUCUGAUACUGGCAAGCUUGAGUCUCGUAGAGGGGGGUAGAAUUCCAGGUGUAGCGGUGACAUGCGUAGAGAUCUGGAGGAAUACCGGUGGCGAAGGCGGCCCCCUGGACGAAGACUGACGCUCAGGUGCGAAAGCGUGGGGAGCAAACAGGAUUAGAUACCCCUGUAGUC